GUUGCUGUGUCUUCCGGAACCUCCUUUCCAUAAUGUAUCCACUGCUCUGGCCCUAGGCUCCCUGGAUUUGGCUACAGGGCAUCUUCCUUGGUUUCUUUCAACUCAAUCUUCUAGGAAACAACUAGGCCCCUGCAACUUCAGCCCAGGCCUCAACACUCCUUCCCCAUCUGCUUCUGGCUGGGCCAUGUUCAGGGUUGUGCAACUGCCUCUUAUUACCUGUGGGAUCUGAACCACAAGGAUGCUGUAUAACAGCCAACCACAAAAUCUCACUGUCAGGCUCACAUGUCUGAGGUCAGCUGGGCUUGGCUAGGUUCACUCCUGGUCUAAGGGCUGGCCGGUUGUUUGCUGAUCUAGACUAGCCCUGGCUAGGAAGACCACUGUGACUAAAGUGACUCAGCUCUGCUUCACAUGUCUCUCAUCCUCCAUUAGCCCAAGCCAAGCAUGUUGUCAUGGUGACCACAGAGAUGCAAGAGCACAAGUAGAAUGCCCAAAGCCUAUUGGUACUCAUUCAAUUCUACUUCAUUAUCUUGGCUGAAGGUCACUGGAUCAAACUUGGAUUCAAGAAGUGUGGGAAUAUAGACUCCAAUUCUAUAUUCAUUUUCUAAGGCUUCCAUAAAAAGGUACCACAGAUGGCGUGGCUUAAACAACAAAAAUCUUCACAAUUCUGCAGGCCAGGAGUCCUGGUAUCUUCUGAGGUCUCUCUCCUCAGCUUGUAAAUGGCUGGCUUCUCCUCAUUGUCUACCAUGGAUUUGCCUCUGUACGCUUCUACAUCCUAAUCUCUUCUUUUAGGGACACCAGACAUAGUGAAUGAGAACCCACUCUAAACCUCAUUUUAAAUUAAUUCCCUCUUUAAAGAUCCUGUCUGCAAAUACAGUCACAUUCUGAGGUAUUGUGGUUACAACUUCAAUUAAUUUGAAGGCAGGGACACAAUUUAACCCAUAAGUACCUCCUUAGUGGGAGCAGAUAGAAGGUCACCUGGGAAAGCAUACAGACAUCAGAGAGAAGAACUGAGGUCCUUGCACCAUCUACCUACCAGAAGUGGCAAUACCGGUGUAGCUUGUUCUCUGAACACCACACUGCUCCAGAUUGGGUGACACACUCCUGUACCCUGGGACAAGGACUAUUCCCUGCCAAGCCCCAGAUUUUUCAUUUGUCAUAGGGUCCAGAUCACACCUGUUUAGUGUUUAAGAACCACAAGGAAAGACAAUUUCCAAAAUUGGAUCUCCAUCAAAAAAGUAGAAAAAUCUUAACAGAUUUUCAUAAGAUAAAUUAAAAUGGUAGUCACAUAUCUAUUCCAAAACACAUACACACACACACACACACACACACACACACACACACACACACACUGCACUAGACCCAGCCAGUUCUACAAGUAAAUUCUUAACUAAAAGUUUCCUUAACUAAAUUGAGUAUCAUUUAGGAAUAAAUGUGAGAGGUAGAUAUUCUCAAACAUGAAUGAAUUCUUCUUUUUUAAAAAGUACCUUUGACAAAGCUCAACCAGUGGAAAUGUAGAAAGAAAGAAAAAAACGCACAAAUCUGAAACACAAAGAAGACAUAACCAUUCACAAAAAAAGAAUUCCAUAAACAACUUUAUGCCACCAAAUGUUUAAACCAACAUAAAAGGACCAAUUUUCAAUCACAAUCUCCAAAAUUGGAUCUCCAUCAAAAAAAGUAGAAAAUCUUAACAGAUUUUCAUAAGAUAAAUUAAAAUGGUAGUCAUAUAUCUAUUCCAAAACACACACACAUACUGCACUAGAUCCAGCCAGUUCUACAAGUAAAUUCUUUAAUCCUUUAGGAAACAGAUAACUAACAUUUUAUACUUGCUUUCCCAAUCUACAUAAUAAAAAGAUAUAAUGCAACCCAAAUUGUUUUUAAAUCCCAAGAGGAAAAAAAAGACCAUUUGUGAGCAUAAACGAAAAAAAAAACUAAAUACAUACUUGCAAAAUAAGCCCAGAAACAUUAAAGCAACAAUAUAUCAUGACCAAUGUUAUAGAUUGUAUUAUUGUCAAAGCUUUUGUUGCACGUCCCUGCAGAAAGAUAAUAUGCCUGCCUCCCUGGCAUCAGGCUUAGUGACAGACUUGGUUUGCCCAACAAAAUUUGAAUAGAAGUAACACCUGCCACUUCUGAACAGAAACAUUAAGAUCCUCCAGUAUCUGCUUUACCAUGUUUCUUCAGCCUGGAUCCUAGAAUUAAGAAGAUAUGAAAUCAAUCCUCAAUGUGCUUGUGACAUGAGCAAGGAAUUAACUUCUGUUGUAAUUCAAUAAGAUUUGGGGGUUGCUUGUUACCAAAGCAGAACUUAAUCUAAGCUGACUAAUACAAUAUGGUAAAGAAUAACCCCAAAAUACAAAGAAAUCAUGAGAAAUGUUAAUAAUGUAAUUAACACACUAACAAAUAAGAAAAAAUUCUAUGAUAAUCUCAAUAUAUGCAGAAAAGACAUUUGAUAAAAUUUAAUGUUAUUUACAAUAAAACAAAUUAGAUAACCUGAUAAAACAUACCUACCAGAAACCCAGAUCAAACAGCAUACUUAUUAGAAACUUUAUUUUUAUUUUUUUAGAUGUGGGCUACCAGCAUCCUUCUCUUCAUGGAGCUUUAUAGUAAGAUGUUUUAUUGGGCAAGGAGUCUGACUCAUCUCCAGGGAACAGACAUAUCUGUCAAGAAACUGACUUUUGACAUUUUAUAAUAGCACAGAAAGGUGUCACAGGUUUUAUUUGUGUCUGGGCUACCUGUCACAAGUAAUGAGAUCAUGAUUAUCAUAGUUGCCCCUUAAUUUGGGAACUUAUUAGAAACUUUAGAAGUAUUCCCAUGAAAGUUAGGAACAAGGCUGUGAUCCCAUGUCAAUGUAAUAAUUAUGUAAUAGUUAACACAAUCAUUAUAGCAGUAGCAAUAAUUAAUGUGGUAAGUGAAGGGGAAAAGAAGAAAUCGGUAUAUGACAGAAGAGAAAAUGCCUAUCAAAAUUUGCAGAUAUGAUUCUCUAUCCAGAAAACGCAAGAAAACUUGCUGAUUAAAUAAUUCAAACCAGAAAAGAGGUUAGCCAAGUUGAAAUCAUAUCCAAAAACUAAUAAAUUUCCUAUUCUCCAUCAAUAUUACUGAUGGAGUGUUGCAAGCCCAGCAUGAUGUCCAUACCUGCAAUCCCAGCAACUAGGGAAGCUGAGGCAGGAGGAUCACAAGUUCAAGGCCAGCUUCAACAACUUAUCAAGGCCCUAAGCAAUUUAGGGAGACCCUGUCUCAAAAUCAGAAAUAAAAAUGGUUGAGGACAUAGCUCAGUGGUGAAGUGCCCCUGGGUUCAAUCCCCAGUACCAAAAAAGAAAAAAUCAUUAUUGUUGCAGAAGAGACCCACCCACAGAGCUUGAGUGAGGAUUCCAGGGCAGAGAGAAGACUUAGUAAAAGAAUAGCACAGUUUAUUAGAAGAGAAAAGGAAGAAAGAAAGGGGACAUCCUCAUGGGUGAGAAUGGGUCCUUUCAGAGAGGAGAGUGACAAUGACCCUCACAAAGUCAAGGAUUUCUAAGGACUUCUGGGCCCCUCUGUUCUUGCCUCAAUUUCUCAUAUCCACUUAAUCUGUUUAUUACCCUUUGGAUAGCCCUCAGCAAAUUUUCUUUGUAACAGUCUGGUACAUCCUGGUCACAAGAAGUGGUUAGGAUGGUUGUGACAUGGUUUCAGAGAUAAGGGAGGGUCACCUGGCCACCUGGAAGGCUGUGACACAUAGUUUUUUUCUUAAGGGGAUGUAAUUACUACUUGAAAUACCAGGUUCCCAUCCCCCAGAUGCUGUCUGAUAAGGCUCCCUGUGGUUUUCAGUGGCUUUCACUGUUCCUGCUCACCUGUUCAUGGUUGACUAGCUACCUAACAACUAGGUGACAUUUCAAAUCAGUGGGGGAAGGGCAGACCAUCCAAUAAGUAAUACUGAGUUAACCAGCCAAAGUCAAGGACUAAGCAUAAACCUGGAUCCCUACCUCCAUAGCCACAAAAAGACUCUCAAUAGAUGCAGAAAAGCUGCAGACUAGGUAUAAAUUGAGAUUGCCAUCAUCCCCUCUCUUUGGGUUUGAUAAUUAGCUAAAAUGGCCCACAUAACUCAGGGAAACACUUUAUCCAUUUAUUAUAAAUGAUACAGAUGAACUUCCAGAUGUGAAGAUAAAUAGGGCAAAGUAUAAAUCAGUACAGAGCUUCCAUGACCCCUCUGGGUACACUACCCUCCGAGAACCUUUGUGUGUUCAGCAACCCAGAAGUUCAUCAGAUCUUUUAUAGAAAGUUCAAGAGUUUGUAUAGAGCUUAACCUAGCUGCAUCCCUUCCUUAAAGGUGAGUGGGUGGGACUCAAGUUCCAACCCUCGAAUCUUUUAAUCACUUGAUCUUUCUGGUGACUAGUCCCACCUUGAGAAUAUCGAAGGCCAUACCCUAGGUCAUCCUAAAUUAGCACAAACUCAGGUGUGAUCAUAAAAGGAGCAUUAUAAAUGAUAAUAACAAAAAGAAAACAUUCCCAGAGCUCAGGGAGUUCCAAGGGUUUUAGGAAUUCAGAGACAUGAACAGGGGACAAAGAUCAGAUCCCCAAAGUAGUCCCUUUACCCCACCCCCAGUCUGAGAUUUCAUUUUCCACUUUCAGUUACCCAUGAUCAACUUCAGUCUGAAACAAUAAAUGGUCAAAUUUCACAAACAAUAAGUGUUCGAUUGUGCACUGUCCUGAGUCAAAUGAUGAAAUCUCACACCAUCCUGCUUUGUCCUGACCAGGACCCCAUCAUUUCUUUGUCUGAAGUAUCCAUGCUACCUAUACUAUCCAUUCAUUAGUCACUUAUAUCAACACUGCUUAUAUUCAAGUAAUCUUAGUUCUGUUUGAUAACAGCCCCAAAGCACAAGGGUGGUGAUGCAAAGGCCACACCAGGACAUAAACAUUGAAAGGACAGAUAAACUUUGGUACUAUUUGGCAAUGCUGCAGGGCAUUUGGCAAAAGCAUACUAUAUAUAAGGUUUGGUAUGAUCCAUGGUUUCAGGCAUCCCCUGAGGGUUUGAAACAUAUCCCCCAUGAAUAAGAAGGUCUGCCUUAUUCCAUAAUAAACCACAGAACCUAAGGAGACACAGUAAUAAAUGUAAUAUGGUGUUCUGGAACAAAAAGAAGGACAUUUGGGGAAAAGUAGGGAAAUGUGAAUAAAUGAUGAACCUUAGCUAUAACAAUGUGUUGAUAUUGGUUCAUUAUUUAUAAUAAAUGCAUCAUACUAAUGUAAGAUAUUAAUAACAGGAAAAAUUGGAAGGGGAGACUACUAUUUGCCCAUAAAUCUGUAAGUCUAAAAUUGUUCUAAAAGAAAUAAAGUCUACUAAUACAAAAAAAUGAUAGUGUAACAGGGGUCCACUUCAUGCUUUGACCAUAACUCUUGUUGCCCUGCCACUAUGACUUACUUUAAAACUGAC
RNAcentral lists this long non-coding RNA (5394 nucleotides) under Marmota monax (woodchuck). Lineage: Eukaryota; Metazoa; Chordata; Mammalia; Rodentia; Sciuridae. The record is from RNAcentral.